This 927-nucleotide ribosomal RNA is filed under the name uncultured bacterium. RNAcentral's name for it is "bacterial SSU rRNA". It matches the Rfam family "Bacterial small subunit ribosomal RNA", at positions 8 to 916 of the family's 1533-position model. The record is from RNAcentral.
AGAGUUUGAUCCUGGCUCAGAACGAACGCUGGCGGCGUGCCUAACACAUGCAAGUCGAGCGCGAAUGGAGCAAUCCUAGUAGAGCGGCGCACGGGUGCGUAACACGUGGAUAAUCUGCCUGGGUGUCUGGGAUAACCAGUCGAAAGAUUGGCUAAUACCGGAUAAGCCCCCGGGAGCUUCGGCUCUUGAGGGAAAAGGUGGCCUCUGUAUACAAGCUAUCACAUCCAGAUGAGUCCGCGGCCCAUCAGCUAGUUGGCGGGGUAAUGGCCCACCAAGGCAACGACGGGUAGCUGGUCUGAGAGGACGAUCAGCCACACUGGAACUGAGACACGGUCCAGACUCCUACGGGAGGCAGCAGUGGGGAAUUUUGCGCAAUGGGCGAAAGCCUGACGCAGCAACGCCGCGUGUGUGAUGAAGGUCUUCGGAUUGUAAAGCACUUUCGACCGGGACGAAAACCCGUUGGCUAACAUCCAACGGCUUGACGGUACCGGGAGAAGGAGCACCGGCUAACUCUGUGCCAGCAGCCGCGGUAAUACAGAGGGUGCAAGCGUUGUUCGGAAUUAUUGGGCGUAAAGCGCGUGUAGGCGGCUUUGCAAGUCGGGUGUGAAAGCCCUCAGCUCAACUGAGGAAGUGCGCCCGAAACUGCAGAGCUUGAGUGCCGGAGAGGGUGGCGGAAUUCCCCAAGUAGAGGUGAAAUUCGUAGAUAUGGGGAGGAACACCGGUGGCGAAGGCGGCCACCUGGACGGUAACUGACGCUGAGACGCGAAAGCGUGGGUAGCAAACAGGAUUAGAUACCCUGGUAGUCCACGCCGUAAACGGUGAGAACUAGGUGUCGUGGGUGUUGACCCCCGCGGUGCCGUAGCUAACGCAUUAAGUUCUCCGCCUGGGAAGUACGGUCGCGAGACUAAAACUCAAAGGAAUUGACGG